CCCCUUCGCUUGGUUCUCACUCUCUCUUUGCCUGCUGCCAUCCAUGUUAAGAUAUGACUUGCUCCUCGUCUUCCGCCAUUAUUGUGAGGCCUCCCCAGCCAUGUGAAACUAGUUUUGCUCUUUUUGCCCAGGCUGCAAUGGCGUGAUCUUGGCUCACCGCAACCUCCGCCUCCCGGAUUCAAGCGAUUCUCCUGCCUCAGCCUCCCAAGUAGCUGGAAUUACAGAUAAAUGUUUCAGAAUGCUGCCACCAACCAUCCUGCAACCAUGAGUGGCAAGCCCAAGACCAAAAACCAAAUAUUGAGGAUGGCAAAGAAAAAAGAAAGAGACUGGACUGUUGGGGACAUCACUGAGCCACUUUGCCAAACCUGGAGUUGCCUACCUUCAAAAGUUUUGUUAUAUGACAUAAUUAAUCUUUACUGCUUUGCCACUUCUGGUGGAAUAUUUUAUUACUAUCACCAGAAGCAUUUCUUGGCUUCAAUAACACACAUACUCCAGUGUCACCUGCUUCAAGAGCACUCUACUCAUAAUUCUGACUAAUGUACAUUUCCACAUGUCUGACCCAAAGGAGGAAGAGGCAGAGCAAGACGGCUCAAUAGAAGCCUCCACUAAUUGUCCUCCCCACUGGAACACCAAAUUGAACAACUAUCCACACAAAGAAGCACCUUCGUAAGAACCAAAAAUCAGGUGCCAGACAGAAAGUCAUCUCUCUGCUCAACUGAGACAAAUGCAGAUUCAUUGAGCCAGACUAAGGCAUAAGUGACUAUUCCUCUAUGUUCCCCAACAUGUAAAUUGUGGAUUCAGUGAAAGGCUGAUUGAAGAGUCAGAAGAAUGUAACUUUUUGUCUCUUAUCUACCUGGAACCACACCUUAUCUACCUGGAACUGUCCCCUCCCCGCCCCCCCAAUCCCGCCCUGUUUUGAGUUGUCCUGCCUUUCUGGACCAAAUCAAUGCACAUCUUACACAUAUUGAUUGAUGUCUCAUAUCUCCCUAAAAUGUGUAAAAGUGAGCUGUACCCUGACCACCUUGAGCACAUGUUGCCAGGACACAGCCUCCUGAGGGUACAUCUUUAACCUUGGCAAAAUAAACUUUCUAAAUUGAUUAAGGCCUGUCUCAGACACUUUGAGUUGACAAUACACAAAAACUAAAAAGGAAGAAAUUAAAAGAUACCACCAGAGAAAAUCGCAUUCACUAAAAGGAAGACCACAAAACAACCAGAAAACAAAUAACAAAAUGGCAGGCAUAAGUCCUUACUUAUCAAAAAUAGCAUUGAAUGUAAAUGAAAUAAACUCUCC
RNAcentral lists this long non-coding RNA (1291 nucleotides) under Homo sapiens (human). RNAcentral's name for it is "LHRI_LNC1932.2". The record is from RNAcentral. Lineage: Eukaryota; Metazoa; Chordata; Mammalia; Primates; Hominidae.